CCUACGGGGGGCUGCAGUGGGGAAUAUUGGACAGUGGGGGCAACCCUGAUCCAGCCAUGCCGCGUGUAUGAAGAAGGCCCUCGGGUUGUAAAGCACUUUCAGUGAGGAAGAACGCCUGGUGGUUAAUACCCAUCAGGAAAGACAUCACUCACAGAAGAAGCACCGGCUAACUCCGUGCCAGCAGCCGCGGUAAUACGGAGGGUGCGAGCGUUAAUCGGAAUUACUGGUCGUAAAGCGCGCGUAGGUGGCUUGAUAAGCCGGUUGUGAAAGCCCCGGGCUCAACCUGGGAACGGCAUCCGGAACUGUCAAGCUAGAGUGCAGGAGAGGAAGGUAGAAUUCCCGGUGUAGCGGCGAAAUGCGUAGAGAUCGGGAGGAAUACCAGUGGCGAAGGCGGCCUUCUGGACUGACACUGACACUGAGGUGCGAAAGCGUGGGUAGCAAACAGGAUUAGAUACCCUGGUAGUC
RNAcentral lists this ribosomal RNA (465 nucleotides) under Vreelandella stevensii. RNAcentral describes it as "partial 16S ribosomal RNA". It matches the Rfam family "Bacterial small subunit ribosomal RNA", at positions 338 to 795 of the family's 1533-position model. The record is from RNAcentral. Lineage: Bacteria; Pseudomonadati; Pseudomonadota; Gammaproteobacteria; Oceanospirillales; Halomonadaceae.